This 572-nucleotide ribosomal RNA is filed under the name Pichia fermentans. RNAcentral's name for it is "partial large subunit ribosomal RNA". It matches the Rfam family "Eukaryotic large subunit ribosomal RNA", at positions 1 to 634 of the family's 3401-position model. Lineage: Eukaryota; Fungi; Ascomycota; Pichiomycetes; Pichiales; Pichiaceae. The record is from RNAcentral.
GUUUUUUUUUCUCAGUCUGAGGAAAAGAAACCAACAGGGAUUGCCCCAGUAGCGGCGAGUGAAGCGGCAAAAGCUCAGAUUUGGAAUCGCUUCGGCGAGUUGUGAAUUGCAGGUUGGCGCCUCUGCGGCGGCGGCGGUCCAAGUCCCUUGGAACAGGGCGCCAUUGAGGGUGAGAGCCCCGUGGGACCGUUUGCCUAAGCUCUGAGGCCCUUCUGACGAGUCGAGUUGUUUGGGAAUGCAGCUCUAAGCGGGUGGUAAAUUCCAUCUAAGGCUAAAUACUGGCGAGAGACCGAUAGCGAACAAGUACUGUGAAGGAAAGAUGAAAAGCACUUUGAAAAGAGAGUGAAACAGCACGUGAAAUUGUUGAAAGGGAAGGGUAUUGCGCCCGACAUGGAGCGUGCGCACCGCUGCCCCUCGUGGGCGGCGCUCUGGGCGUGCUCUGGGCCAGCAUCGGUUUUUGCCGCGGGAGAAGGGCGGCGGGCAUGUAGCUCUUCGGAGUGUUAUAGCCUGCCGCCGGCGCCGCGAGCGGGGACCGAGGACUGCGACCUGUCUCGGAUGCGCCUCACUGGAAG